AAGUUACAGAUUAACAGCAUCUUAGGGCAAAGCAAUUGUUCAGGGUACAGGUCAAAAUGGAGUUUCUUGUGUCUUUCUUUUCAACAUAGACACAGUAACAGUCUGAUCUCUCUUUCUUUUCCCUACACCAGCCCCGCCUCUUCUACAAGUCCUCCAGCUGCCAGCCACUGUAUUCUUGGCAACUUGAGUUCCUCACCCCUUAGCAGAUGUUUGGAGUAAAAUGAGAACUUCCAUCUGUUUUUUCAAAGAUUUUCUAUAAUAAGCAUGUGCUAAUUUUUUAGUCAGAAAGAUUAGUGUUCAGUAUUUACAUCCAUCCAUCCAUCCAUCAAUAUUUGGCCCUUGGUGCAGAAAAAUAUUGUGAUUUGUUGUUAACCCACAGACAUGAGAGAUUUAAGAUGCACCUCCUUGAGUGCUGGUGUCAAAUGGCUGUCACCCAGCCCAGUCUCAUUGGCUCUUAUGGACGCCGAUCCGCAAACCACCUGCAAACCCUCAGGCAGCUGCAGGGUCUAGCAGGCUUCCCUAUCCGUGUGUUAUUAUGGUUUGCCCUCCAGGUCAGCAUUUAUGGGGAGAUAGAUGGGCAAAGUCUAGACCCUGCUGUUUCCCUCAAACCAGUGCAGCCAAGGGGGCACACAGGAUGUCCCAGCUGCUUUACAACAGCUGCCAUCUUUAAACAGAAAAAGUCAGGUUUUUUCGAGUAGUAACCAGUUUUUACCUAAGGCCGGAAGGGAGGGGACCCAGUGCUGUAAACAAACCAGAGCCUCUUGUCUCCUUUGCUCUGGCCGACCCAGGCUUGCUGACUCUGUGCUGCUCACAAGUGCCAAGUUCAGAGGACUAGACUGCAUGGCAAGGCUCUUUGGGCCACUGAAGGCACCCUCCCUGAGGCCCUUCUCUGAGGCCUUGUACUUUGUCUCCAAGCGAGAACACCCUAAUGUCCUUCCCAAGAGGAAGGGUGUUUGCAGUAGACAUACUGCAAGCCCCCUCCCCACGCCCUGUCUGAUCUCAUGGUGUGUGUGCAUUGGAAGAUGAGUUGAUCCGGGAGGUCACCAUCAACUGUGCGGAGAGGGGGCUGCUGCUGCUGCGAGUCCGGGACGAGAUCCGCAUGACCAUCGCUGCCUACCAGACCCUGUACGAGAGCAGUGUGGCGUUUGGCAUGAGGAAGGCACUGCAGGCUGAGCAGGGGAAGUCAGACAUGGAGAGGAAAGUGAGUGGGGUUUACCGUGACCCUUGGCCCCCUGUCUCUUCUGUAAACCUCAGGGCCACGUGCUUGUCAUUCCAGCACUACAUUCUGACCUCCUAAGGUGCUCUCCUGACAGUCACGACACCUGGACCUGCAUCAUCCCAGUGAGGGACCCCUGGUUGAGUAUGUUGGCCAGCCUGGUGGUCUUGGCAGAGUUGUCUCCGCUGUGGACGCUCCAUGCCAGGCACUGACCUCCCACUGGGUGGCAGUAUAUACCCUGGCAAUGUCAUGUCCCAUGUCCCUUCCACCCAGGCUCACACCAUUCCAUUCACCUGGCGACAUCCCAGAAUGACUGGGCAUUCUCUCCUCAGAUUGCAGAAUUGGAGACGGAAAAGAGAGACCUGGAGAGGCAAGUGAACGAGCAGAAGGCAAAAUGUGAAGCCACUGAGAAGCGGGAGAGCGAGAGGCGGCAGGUGGAGGAGAAGAAGCACAAUGAGGAGAUUCAGUUCCUAAAGCGAACAAAUCAGCAGCUGAAGGCCCAACUGGAAGGCAUUAUUGCACCAAAGAAGUGAUAAUUUCCACAUGAUUAAUUUCCAACAAGACACUUGGGAGUUAUUUACUGUGUUCCUCUGGUAGCCAAUAAAAUCAUCAUAAGCCCUUUGUAAUAAAAAGCUAGUUUCCUGAGCGAACAAGCCAUAACCUCCCCUAAACACCACCUAGGUAUUUGUCAGAAGUCACACUAUUACUCCAGUGUCAUCAAACACCUAAGGUCUGCCAGCCAGGCUCCUGGCUGGGCAAUGGAAGAUGGUGUGGCCCUGUUAGUCUCAGUGUGUGGCUUACUAGCCAGCCUUGGGAACUGCCAACUCAAAUUCUAAGAAAGCCACUGCUUUCUCAUCAUCACUCUAUACCAAUACUUAUUUCUGGCCAAAUGAAUCUGCCUUUCUGCCCCUCAAACUUUUAGUCUACAAUUCAUCUUCUACCUUAACUUGGGCUUCUUGGGCCUCUGGCCUUCCUUACUUAAUGUCUUCUUUUCCCUACUCUAAUGCAUUUCUAACUCACUUUGGAGCUUUGGUUUUCUAAUGUAUUAUCCCCACUUGCCAGUCAACUGGACCCCUUCCUCCUCGGUUUCAGACUGCCUACGUUAGGAAACAAUGGCAGAGUCAAACCCAUGGCUUUGGAAAGUAAAUGUUUGCCAGAAAGGAAUACUAGUCACAGUGGCCUUUGUGAGUUGUCUGCAACUCAGCUCUUCCCCGAGCACAGAUCUGUUCCCCUUAUCCUGCAGAAAAUCAAGCCCUGACUCUGCACUCCCCUAAGUAGUGAUGUUAAUUAACAACUGAAGAGGUAACCAAAUCUCACAUGCAGGUCUAAUGGCUAAUGAUUGGAGUACGGCUGCUAGACAACUGCAUUUUAGUAUUUCUCUUCCACUCUCCUGGUUUUGUAGACCCAGAAGUUUGAAUAAGUGACAUAAAUCUUUAGUUCGGGGCAAGCCAGGGUGGGCUAGGGUGGUAAGCUGGAGGACUUCAUCCUCCAGUCAGGCUGCACAAGUAACAUUACCUGAAAGGCACUAACAUGCUCACGUUCCCCAGAAAGAGGUGUGAGAAGGGACUCUCCUUAGCAGAGCUUCCACCUGCCAUCCGUCUUGGGUUCAGUGAGCUUCAAGGCUCACAAUGGAAGCACUGUCAUUUCCGCAUGUUCUCCAUGCUGUGUUUCCCAUGCUGAACACACCAUACACAUUCUCAUCUGGAAUCUAAGGAGCAGCUUUUACCCUGAUCCAGUAUCCUGAGGAAUUUUAAGGCUCCACUCAAAUGACCUGCCUGUGUUGUCAUUUCCAUGGGAAAGAACUCUUUCCACGAGAUCUGCUAGUUCCAGGCCUCUAAAACAGGAAUGUAUGUGCCAUAAGUGGGUCCACUUCACAGACUCAAUGAGGCAGAAAUUACUGUAGUUUUCUCCUAUUUCUUCCGUGCCCAACCUUCUCCUUGUAUUUCAAAGCCCAGGCCAUGUACACUAACGUCCUUGAAAUUUGCAGUUCUGUAUGCUUCUAUUCCAAAUCAUUCAUUACCAAUAAAAAAGAAAUACCACCCUUUCCAUUUUAUAGACCUCAUCCCCUAUUUCUGUCAGAGAUUUAUAUGACAGGGUGACUGCGGAACCUCUUAGUUCAUCCACAGUCUACCUGAAGUGCUAGACUUUCAGACUCUUUAUCACUGAAAUCCUUAAGGUUGAGGAGGCUUUAUUUCCCUAGCACUGGUGAAGGGCUUCAGCUGUCAAACUUCAGAACAAAUGCAUUAUGGCCUUAGAAAUGCCAACGGGGCAGGAAGAAAACACAAUUUCUAACUGCAUGUUUUUGUAUAAUUUAAUAAAAACCUUUUAAACAUU
RNAcentral lists this small RNA (3550 nucleotides) under Pongo abelii (Sumatran orangutan). RNAcentral describes it as "processed transcript". The record is from RNAcentral. Lineage: Eukaryota; Metazoa; Chordata; Mammalia; Primates; Hominidae.